Molecule: ribosomal RNA, 253 nt
Filed under: uncultured bacterium
Lineage: Bacteria
Description: partial 16S ribosomal RNA
Rfam family: Bacterial small subunit ribosomal RNA
Source: RNAcentral
GACGGAGGGUGCAAGCGUUGUUCGGAAUUACUGGGCGUAAAGCGCGUGUAGGCGGCUUGGUAAGUCGAGUGUGAAAGCCCGAGGCUCAACCUCGGAAGUGCAUUCGAAACUGCCUUGCUUGAGUACGGGAGAGGGAAGUGGAAUUCCUGGUGUAGAGGUGAAAUUCGUAGAUAUCAGGAGGAACACCGGUGGCGAAGGCGGCUUCCUGGACCGAUACUGACGCUGAGACGCGAAAGCGUGGGGAGCAAACAGG